Molecule: unclassified non-coding RNA, 376 nt
Filed under: soil metagenome
Description: partial contains 5.8S ribosomal RNA, internal transcribed spacer 2, and large subunit ribosomal RNA
Rfam family: 5.8S ribosomal RNA (bases 1-120)
Source: RNAcentral
GAUGAAGAACGCAGCGAAUUGCGAUAUGUAAUGUGAAUUGCAGAAUUCAGGGAAUCAUCGAAUCUUUGAACGCAUCUUGCGCUCCUUGGUAUUCUGAGGAGCAUGCCUGUUUGAGUGUCAUUAAAUUCUCAACUACACUGACUUUGAAUUGGUGUGGCUUGGAUUUGGGGGGAAAAUUGUUGUGGGCUUUUUGUAUAGUCUGCUCCCCUGAAAUUGAUUAGCGGUACCUUUGUGGAACUGUCUACAGGUGUGAUAAUUAUCUACAUCUUAGACAUCUGCUGGAAUGCUGCUUUCUAAACCUUACUUGUAUUGACAAUCUUGACCUCAAAUCAGGUAGGACUACCCGCUGAACUUAAGCAUAUCAAUAAGCGGAGGA